GCCUGGGUGGCUCAGUCGGUUAAGCGUCCGACUUCAGCUCAGGUCACGAUCUCACGGUCUGUGAGUUCGAGCCCCGCCUCGGGCU
Molecule: transfer RNA, 85 nt
Filed under: Felis catus (domestic cat)
Lineage: Eukaryota; Metazoa; Chordata; Mammalia; Carnivora; Felidae
Also listed under: 1 other name
Rfam family: tRNA
About the family: Transfer RNA (tRNA) molecules are approximately 80 nucleotides in length. Their secondary structure includes four short double-helical elements and three loops (D, anti-codon, and T loops). Further hydrogen bonds mediate the characteristic L-shaped molecular structure. tRNAs have two regions of fundamental functional importance: the anti-codon, which is responsible for specific mRNA codon recognition, and the 3' end, to which the tRNAs corresponding amino acid is attached (by aminoacyl-tRNA synthetases). tRNAs cope with the degeneracy of the genetic code in two manners: having more than one tRNA (with a specific anti-codon) for a particular amino acid; and 'wobble' base-pairing, i.e. permitting non-standard base-pairing at the 3rd anti-codon position.
Source: Rfam by way of RNAcentral